CCCUUAGAUGUCCUGGGCCGCACGCGCGCUACACUGACAUGUUCAACAAGUUUCUCCUAGUUCGACAGGACUGGGAAAUCUUUGAACGCAUGUCGUGAUAGGGAUAGAUCAUUGCAAUUAUUGAUCUUGAACGAGGAAUUCCUAGUAAACGCGAGUCAUCAGCUCGCAUUGAUUACGUCCCUGCCCUUUGUACACACCGCCCGUCGCACCUACCGAUUGAAUGUUUCGGUGAAGAUUCCGGAUAGGACUGAUUUGAUUUAUUUCAUUUUUGACCUAAAAGCUAUCUAAACCUCAACAUUUAGAGGAAGGUGAAGUCGUAACA
RNAcentral lists this ribosomal RNA (322 nucleotides) under uncultured eukaryote. RNAcentral describes it as "partial 18S ribosomal RNA". It matches the Rfam family "Eukaryotic small subunit ribosomal RNA", at positions 1470 to 1796 of the family's 1831-position model. The record is from RNAcentral.